Molecule: ribosomal RNA, 497 nt
Filed under: uncultured bacterium
Lineage: Bacteria
Description: partial 16S ribosomal RNA
Rfam family: Bacterial small subunit ribosomal RNA
Source: RNAcentral
GAUGAACGCUGGCGGCGUGCCUAAUACAUGCAAGUCGAGCGAACGGACGAGAAGCUUGCUUUUCUGAUGUUAGCGGCGGACGGGUGAGUAACACGUGGAUAACCUACCUAUAAGACUGGGAUAACUUCGGGAAACCGGAGCUAAUACCGGAUAAUAUUUUGCACCGCAUGGUUCAAAGGUGAAAGACGGUCUUGCUGUCACUUCUAGAUGGAUCUGCGCUGCAUUAGCUAGUUGGUAAGGUCACGGCUUAUCAAGGCAACGAUGCAUAGCCGACGUGAGAGAGGGAUCGGCCACACUGGAGCUUAGACACGGUCCAGACUCCUACGAGAGGCAGCAGUAGGGAAUGUGCCGCAAUGGUCGAGAGCCUGGCGGAACAGCGCCGCGUGAGUGAUGAAGAUCUUCGGAUCGUAAAACUCUGUUAUGAGUGAAAAACAUAUGUGUAAGUAACUGUGCACAUCUUGACGGUACCUAAUCAGGAAGCCACGGCUAACUACGUG